GGCUGCUGCCAGUGGUCAAAGCCUCCAACAAAGCUCUACUGAGUUGCUGUAACCUCUCAGAGAGAAGCUGUGAUGCUCUGUCCUCAGUUCUCAACUCCCAGGCCUCUAGUCUGAAAGAGCUGGACCUGAGUAACAAUGACCUGCAGGAUUCAGGAGCGAAGCUUUUGUCUGCUGCUCUGCAGAGUCCACAUUGUACACUGGAAACUCUCAGAUUGAAGGACUGUGGUUUGUCAGAGAUCAGCUGUGAUUAUCUGGCAGCAGCGCUGAAGUCCAACCCCUCGUAUCCCAGAGUGCUGGACCUGAGUGUAGACUACAACAACCUGCAGGAUUCAGGAGUGAAGCAGCUGUGUGUUCUUCUGGAGAAUCCACGAUGUCGAUUUGAAACUCUGAGACUGAGUCACUGUGACCUGUCAGAGAGAAGCUGUGAAGCUCUGUCCUCAGGUCUCAGCUCUCAGACCUCUAAUCUGAGAGAGCUGGACCUGAGUAACAUUAACCUGAAGGAUUCAGGCGUGAAGCUUCUGUCUGAAGGACUGAAGAGUCCACACUGUACACUGGAAACUCUCAGUCUGUCAGGCUGUCUGAUCACAGAGGAAGG
Molecule: long non-coding RNA, 595 nt
Organism: Oreochromis aureus
Lineage: Eukaryota; Metazoa; Chordata; Actinopteri; Cichliformes; Cichlidae
Exons: 5
Source: RefSeq, a predicted model, not a curated record